RNAcentral lists this ribosomal RNA (464 nucleotides) under uncultured bacterium. Its description in RNAcentral is "partial 16S ribosomal RNA". It matches the Rfam family "Bacterial small subunit ribosomal RNA", at positions 28 to 507 of the family's 1533-position model. The record is from RNAcentral.
GACGAACGCUGGCGGCGUGCUUAACACAUGCAAGUCGUACGGUAAGGCCCUUUCGGGGUUCCAGAGUGGGCAACGGGUGAAUAACCCGGGAAUUACCCGGCCACAACUUUGGGAUAAAGCCAGGAAACCGGUGCUAAUACUUGAUAUGUGCUUCCUCUGCAUUGGUGGGGUUUGAAAGCCUCGGCGGUUGUGGAUGGACUCGCGGCCUAUCAGCUUGUUGGUGGGGUAGUGGCCUACCAAGGCGGCGACGGGUUGCCGGCCUGAGAGGGUGACCGGCCACAGUGGGACUGAGAUACGGCCCAGACUCCUACGGGAGGCAGCAGUGGGGAAUAUUGCACAAUGGGCGCAAGCCUGAUGCAGCAACGCCGCGUGCGGGAUGACGGCCUUCGGGUUGUAAACCGCUUUCAGCAGGGACGAAGCUUUUUGUGACGGUACCUGCAGAAGAAGCACCGGCUAACUACGUG